GUAAAUAAAUAUGGACAAAGAGUGAAAGACAGAAUUUGUAAUGUUAGGAUAAUGGACUUAGAUUUUUCAAUGUUUUCCUGUGCAUUUCUAAUUUAAAAUGCUUGGUUUUUUUGUUUGUAACUUUUUUCUAAGAAAGAAUUGACAUAGAGAAGAUCAUUUGUCUCUUCAAUCAAUAACUUUCUGAACUACUCUACUCUUAAUGUUAACAUGUGUAUUUACUCACUUUUUUCAAACUGCCUCCAUGCUAUCCCCAGACAGCAUUACUCCAGGAUACCACAAUACUCUUCCAGAGUAGGAAUUUCACACUCAUAUAUGUCAAGGGACCUCUGCAGGGGAGGGAUUCUAUGAGAAAGGGAGUGAUGGCCCUAUUACUGGAGUGCGAAGAACCCUAGAAGCAUUAAAAAUGUAUUUCACUUUCAACAUUAUAGAACAUUUUAAUGUACAAAGAAGAUAAAUCUCUGGGGUAAAUAGUUUUAUCAACUGGCAUUAUGCUAGUUCUGCUCUAUCUAGGGUACAUGUUCUCAACCUCGGGUCUAGAGACAGAAUUCAUCUUUAUUUAGAUGGAAAAAAUUUUUUACUCAAACAUAAAUUUAGUAUUUAAUUAUGAAUGAAGAUCAUCAGUCACAGUAAUAUUAGCAGUAAUUAUGAGUUUGUCACCAUUGUAAAUUAGUAAUAUUUUCAUAUCAUGUUGUAUUUGGUGUAAAUAUCUCAAUGUGUUUACAGUGGCUGCUGCUUCAAAAUGCAGUACUUAGUUUCAGGUUUGUCUUGUUACUUAAUGUCUUACUAAGGAAGAUGCAUCUCUAAUAAGGAAGAUGGAUUGAGUAAGACACAGUUUGGGAUAAGGAGGCUCAAAAAUGAGAUCAGGAAGUACUUUCAAUUUUAUUUGUAAUAUUCUAUUUAAGUUAGAUGAUGGUGAGUUUAUGGAUAUUCAUUUUAUUGCUAUUCUUUAAAACCUACUUCUUAUUUUCCAAGUGUUCUUUUGUAUGCAAAAAUUUAUAACUUGUGAAUCUUUUUAUAAUAUUUCUAUUAGAUGCCAACAUUACCUACUUUACUCUCCCCCUUUCUGAAAAAUUCCCACCCACUGCCCUUGUUGAGCUAGUAGAGCACCGUAUGAUACUACUGUGUGGGGUAGUUUGUUGGGCUAGAGGUGAACUCCUGACCUAUGGAGUAACCUGUGAGGUGCUAUGGAGUGAUUCUGAGGAUGUGGUUUGAAAAAGAGCUGGAUGGAACUCAUCAACAAAAUCCUGUAUUGAGAUAGAAAAUUUACCAGUUAUAGGCAAUUGAAUCUAGAGGCUUAUAUCUUAUAUGAGAUACAGCAAGGGGGUCCCUAGUUGGACCUUGUAGGCCAAUAAAACCCUAGAAUUAUGUGAAAAAUUUUAAGUGUAUCCUUCAGGAGGCUUGUGGCUUUCACCUAGGGUCUCUAAUCUAAUCUGAGAUAAGAAUCACUGUGGCAAAGGCUUACAAGUAACCUGAGUAGUUAAAUAAAAACAGAGUAGAUAGUAGGAGGAGACAGAGAAGCUAGGAGUGACAGAUGAGAUAGAGGUGAAUAGGCUGGUGCUCAGAGCUGCCUCUGUUUCUGUCCUUUCUAAGUCAUCCUUCAUCUUUUGGAAAGUCUUAUGAGAAAUCUGAGCCUUUCAAAAGAAAGAUGUAUUUCAAUUGAGAUCUUUUCCAUUCUUUGCAUUGACAGAAUCCUGUUUAUGAAAAUGUGGAAAUGACACUUAAAUUUUUCAUUAAUGUUCAAAUUUGGAAGUUUUCUUUUUUUUAUAGGCAAGAAAUAGAUUUAUCAAGAUAGGAUACUUACAAGGGAUGCAAGAAGGCAGGCAAAGAAGCUCUGCCAAAUUUGGAAGUUUUCUUGAAGAACAUAGUAAUUGACAAUUUUUUAAAAACUUCAUUACUUUGGAGAAUAGUUGGAAGGGUUAAUUCUUGGCAACUAAUUAACUCUUGAGCAAGAAUAAAAGAAAGCAAGAACUAAUUAACUCUUGAGCAAGAAUAAUUUACUAUUUAAAUUAUUGAAAUAGUACAGAGAAAAUCCUCUAAGUCACUUUAGGCAUAUCAGCAGGGUUGAAAUGCUUGUGAGAAUUAUUUCUCCCCAUCAGUCAUUGAUCCAGGAAGCCCUCCCAGUCACCUUUCAAACUGUAAUGUGCUUGGCUGGGCAAUAGUUUCACGCAGUGAUUUGUGGUUCUCAGGAAAACUCAAUGCUUCUGAUCACACAAACUCAAAAACAAAAAUCAAUGGGCAAAUCACAAUAAGAUAGUUAUUUUUGAGUUGCAAAUCCCUUGUGAUUAAACCAGAACGAAUUCUGUCCAAUAGAAAUAGAACCAUAUUCCUUAUUGCACGUCCUGCUACUUGCUAUUGUCCUUGCUUUUCUAAUUUCUUAAGAAUUGUUCAUGAAUAAAGGGAAGAACUUUCAAAAAUAUUUAAAAUGUUUUUCUAACUGUGCAAAGAAUUUAUUGGCUCUGUAUAAUCCAGCCAGUAUUUCUGAAGUCCCUUUUAAUUUGUGUACUUUUGUAACUAUUCAGAGGAGUCAUUAUUACCCAUAAAAAGUAUUUUAUUUUAUCAUUUUAGGAGACUUUUCCUUCCACACUUAUGGAGGCAGUUGUUUUUUUCCAAGUGGCAAAACGUGUAAGAAAAAUACAUACAAAAAAAAAGAAAAA
This 2654-nucleotide long non-coding RNA is filed under the name Sus scrofa (pig). Its description in RNAcentral is "lncRNA (ENSSSCG00015002616.1)". Lineage: Eukaryota; Metazoa; Chordata; Mammalia; Artiodactyla; Suidae. The record is from RNAcentral.